Molecule: ribosomal RNA, 497 nt
Filed under: uncultured bacterium
Lineage: Bacteria
Description: partial 16S ribosomal RNA
Rfam family: Bacterial small subunit ribosomal RNA
Source: RNAcentral
GACGAACGCUGGCGGCGUGCCUAAUACAUGCAAGUUGAGCGCUGAAGGUUGGUACUUGUACCAACUGGAUGAGCAGCGAACGGGUGAGUAACGCGUGGGGAAUCUGCCUUUGAGCGGGGGACAACAUUUGGAAACGAAUGCUAAUACCGCAUAAAAACUUUAAACACAAGUUUUAAGUUUGAAAGAUGCAAUUGCAUCACUCAAAGAUGAUCCCGCGUUGUAUUAGCUAGUUGGUGAGGUAAAGGCUCACCAAGGCGAUGAUACAUAGCCGACCUGAGAGGGUGAUCGGCCACAUUGGGACUGAGACACGGCCCAAACUCCUACGGGAGGCAGCAGGAGGGAAUCUUCGGCAAUGGACGAAAGUCUGACCGAGCAACGCCGCGUGAGUGAAGAAGGUUUUCGGAUCGUAAAACUCUGUUGGUAGAGAAGAACGUUGGUGAGAGUGGAAAGCUCAUCAAGUGACGGUAACUACCCAGAAAGGGACGGCUAACUACGUG